CCUACGGGUGGCUGCAGUGGGGAAUAUUGCACAAUGGGCGCAAGCCUGAUGCAGCCAUGCCGCGUGUGUGAAGAAGGCCUUCGAGUUGUAAAGCACUUUCAGCGGGGAGGAAGGCGGUGAGGUUGAUAACCUCAUCGAUUGACGUUACCCGCAGAAGAAGCACCGGCUAACUCCGUGCCAGCAGCCGCGGUAAUACGGAGGGUGCAAGCGUUAAUCGGAAUUACUGGGCGUAAAGCGCACGCAGGCGGUCUGUCAAGUCGGAUGUGAAAUCCCCGGGCUCAACCUGGGAACUGCAUUCGAAACUGGCAGGCUAGAGUCUUGUAGAGGGGGGUAGAAUUCCAGGUGUAGCGGUGAAAUGCGUAGAGAUCUGGAGGAAUACCGGUGGCGAAGGCGGCCCCCUGGACAAAGACUGACGCUCAGGUGCGAAAGCGUGGGGAGCAAACAGGAUUAGAUACCCCUGUAGUC
Molecule: ribosomal RNA, 465 nt
Filed under: uncultured Klebsiella sp.
Lineage: Bacteria; Pseudomonadati; Pseudomonadota; Gammaproteobacteria; Enterobacterales; Enterobacteriaceae
Description: bacterial SSU rRNA
Rfam family: Bacterial small subunit ribosomal RNA
Source: RNAcentral